Ostrinia nubilalis (European corn borer) is the source of this 560-nucleotide long non-coding RNA. RefSeq lists it as uncharacterized. Lineage: Eukaryota; Metazoa; Arthropoda; Insecta; Lepidoptera; Crambidae. The transcript has 3 exons. The record is from RefSeq and is a predicted model, not a curated record.
ACUCCGCUAACUGACAUGACAUUCCUGUCAUUCAAACGGUGCAACGGUUUAUAAGUGUCGUUAUUUUGUGGAUUUGUGAAUUAAAUAAUAUAAAUAAAUAUGGAUAAAACUACAACUAUCAGAUAAAAAGCUGCCGUUUUCUUCUUCCGAAAGAGAGCUGCUGAUUGUAGCUUAAUAAGAGAAAGGCCUAUUAUUGAAGACAAGCAUAUUAUUAUCCUCUCUAAAAUAUCGAGUUGACGAAGCAGGCCUGGGAAACUCUAACAGUGGCUUACAAUUCUCAACCAUAUUUUAUGUUUCACAAAGGCUCACACGUCAACUGAAAAGCUGCUGGAAUAAUUUAAAGACCCAAAGAAUGAAAGAACUUUCUCAGGAAUCAAUCAAACGUUCUCAACACCCACUAGUAGGUAUCAAGAAAUUAAGAUUAGUAGUAGCAAGAAUGAAGAUUAAGACAGAAACAAGAAUCAAACGCACCACAUUGAAUAAUAUACAACAAGACCAGGCUUUGCACGAGUUGGGGCUACAAAGAGAAAAAAUAUUGAUAGAAAGAGAAAACAAUUUGU